CUAAAUUUUCAACGAUGGAUGUCUAGGCUCCCAUAUCGAUGAAGAACGCAGCGAGAAUGCGAUAUGCAGUGUGAAUUGCAGAACUACGAAUCAUCGGAUUUUUGAACGCAACUG
This 114-nucleotide ribosomal RNA is filed under the name Lacrymaria sp. FG-2017a. RNAcentral's name for it is "5.8S ribosomal RNA". It matches the Rfam family "5.8S ribosomal RNA", at positions 1 to 112 of the family's 154-position model. Rfam says of the family: 5.8S ribosomal RNA (5.8S rRNA) is a component of the large subunit of the eukaryotic ribosome. It is transcribed by RNA polymerase I as part of the 45S precursor that also contains 18S and 28S rRNA. Functionally, it is thought that 5.8S rRNA may be involved in ribosome translocation. The record is from RNAcentral. Lineage: Eukaryota; Ciliophora; Litostomatea; Haptorida; Lacrymariidae.